GUCUACGGCCAUGCCACCCUGAACAAGCCCGAUCCCAUCUGAUUUCAGAAGCUAAGCAGGGUCAGGCCUGGUUAGUACUUGGAUGGGAGACCACCUAGGAAGACCAGGUGCUGUAGGCA
RNAcentral lists this ribosomal RNA (119 nucleotides) under Pteropus alecto (black flying fox). Lineage: Eukaryota; Metazoa; Chordata; Mammalia; Chiroptera; Pteropodidae. The record is from RNAcentral.